This is an RNA transcript of Magnolia sinica, 2660 nucleotides long. It is a transcript of the gene named pentatricopeptide repeat-containing protein At5g42310, chloroplastic-like, with no coding region annotated. NCBI's taxonomy places the organism in Eukaryota, Viridiplantae, Streptophyta, Magnoliopsida, Magnoliales, Magnoliaceae. The transcript has 6 exons. The record is from RefSeq and is a predicted model, not a curated record.
AGGGUUUUUCGAGUUCUUGAUUUUAUGCUUUUGGCAUAUAGAAAUCGAUUUUUUUUACUAAAAUGAGAGAAUCGUCACAGAAAGAAAUUGAAUUCUGGUUUUCCCAGGAAUGUAGGAUUCCAACAAAUUGAAUUCUGCAAUUGCAUUUACCGAAUUUAGAAAAAGAAAGGAAAGGAAAGGUGAAGAACUUCAAAUGAAGGAAUAUGGGUUGCAGUUCGCCUUCCCUUCUGAAGCGUCUCCGGUUUUAUCAAGAAUCGGCUUUUGUCCCUGCAUUCCAUUUCGUCACCGCUUCUCUGGCGGAUUUAAGAAAUUUUGUCCCACUACAACUGCUUUGGUUGCAAUACGGAGAAAUGGUCAUGGAGAAACUGCUUUGGUCGAAUCCAAGAGAAAUUUAAAGAUCAACGAAGCUUCCGGAAAGUCAAAGCCAGGGAUGAAGCAGCUCCUUGAUGAGUACAGUAAUGUUUUGGAUGACAGAGUAGAAGUCCCAGGUGAAUUAUAUAACAAUUUGAUUCGAGCGUAUUGUGGUGAAGGCGAUCUAGAUAAGUCCAUGUGGUUUUUUGCUAGCAUGGAGGCUGUGGGUAUGCGUCCUACUGCAACAUCUUACACUUGUUUGAUUGAUGCUCUUGGAAGCGUCGGUAGGACUCUAGAGGCUGAUGCAAUCUUCCAAGAGAUGAAAUUGUCUGGAUUUGAGCCAAGGGUCAGAUCUUAUAACAUUCUUUUAAGAGCCUUCUUGAGGAAAGGGCUGUUGCAGCUUGCCGACAGCUUGUUGAUGGAAAUGGGGGAGCGUGGGAUAGGAAGAAAUCAAGAGACUUACAUGCUCCUACUUGAUUCUUACUCCCAUGCAGGACGUUUGGAUGAUACAUGGUUGGUUCUUGGAGAGAUGAAAGCAAAGGGAAUUCGGUUGAACUCUACCAUCUAUAGCAAGGUUAUCGGCAUUUACAGGGAUAAUGGGAUGUGGAAGAAAGCUAUGAGCCUAGUGAGAGAGAUGCGGGAAAUGGGGGUUUCACCUGACAGGCGGAUCUACAACAGCAUAAUUGAUACAUUUGGAAAGUAUGGUCAGAUGGAUGAAGCGGUAGAAGUAUUUGAGACCAUGCAAAGCGAAGGUAUAAGGCCUGAUAUAGCAACAUGGAAUUCUUUGAUUCGUUGGCACUGUAAUGCUAGAGAGCUUGGCCAAGCACUCGAAUUUUUUACAAAGAUGCAAGAGGAAGGCUUAUACCCAGAUCCUAAGAUUUUUGUUACCAUCAUUAGUCGCUUGGGGGAGCAAGGGAAGUGGGAUGAGAUAAGGGAAAACUUUGAGAGUAUGAAAGAUAGGGGGCUUCGGAGAAGCGGGAUCCUUUAUGCGGUGCUCGUGGACAUCUAUGGGCAAUUUGGGAGAUUUCACGAUGCUGAGGAGUGUUUAGCCGCUUUAAAAUCUGAAGGUCUACAACCUUCAGCUAGCAUGUUUUGCGCAUUAGCAAAUGCUUAUGCCCAACAGGGAUUUUGCGAACAGACUGUUACUGUUCUUCGAUUAAUGGAAGCUGAAGGAAUUGAACCAAACCUUAUAAUGCUGAAUUUGUUGAUCAAUGCAUUCAGUAUUGCUGGAAGACAUUUGGAGGCAAUGGCAAUUUUUGAGCAUAUAAAGGAGAUUGGCAUUAGCCCUGAUGUGGUUACCUACAGUACACUCAUGAAGGCAUUUAUUAGAGCGAGGAAAUUUUACCAGGUUCCAAGAAUUUACAAGGAAAUGGAAUCUGCUGGAUGUACUCCUGACAGAAAAGCAAGGGAGAUGUUUCAAACUGCUUUGAUGAUCCUUGAACAGCAUGGCCACAGGCAUAAUUGCAAUUCAGAAGACUCCUAAUACCCCGAACUCAGUGCUUGUUUUCAAGAGAGGGAGAAACUUGUUAAAAGCCUCAAGGGAAGGAGUACAUCAGGAUCAGAAGUUCAAGGCAAUUUUCUUUUAGCUGGAUUUUUUAUCAUCUUAAUGGGGGAAAAGACAGUAAAAUUGCUAGAGAUUUCAAACGAAAAGUACCAGUGUACCAUACUCCACUUCAGUCUAAACAACUGUCACCAGACUGAGAAACAAAUGCUGGAAGCAAUGGGAGAAGCAUCAACUUCUAUUAAAGUACUUGCACAAAUGCCUCAGAUGGACAGAAGGGAACGAAAAAUGCUGAAUGUGCAGUAAUUGCUGGUGGCUAGUAGCAAAGAAGCAGAGAUGAUGGCUCUGUGCAAAGUGGGGAAAUUCCAACAGUCACCAACUUUUGAGAUAUCAACAAGUGCAAUCCAGAUGAGGAAUCUUGGAUGAUUUCUCAGGCAGAUGAUUAUCAGAUUUGAACAGUUAAUGAAGACCCAGAAAGUUUGCAGCUGAGAAUUGAUAGAUGGGCCAGUGUUUACAGUCAACAGCAUGCAUCCAAGAAGCUUGAAAAAAGGAAGAUGAAACCAAGCAGCGUUUUUUGUUCAAUGUGAAGCGGUAAUCUUCUAGGCUACAUUAGCUUCCAUACAUGAUAUUGUUUGGAAGGAACCUUAAUCAGGACCGAAAUAAGUGAAUAUACAAAACGGCAAUAUGGGGUGAAGAGAUCAGGGGCGCCGUUUGGGGGUAUUUUUCAUGGAAAAGUAUUAAUCUGACAUUAAUACUUUUAUUAAUCUGACAUUUCAACGGAAAUACCACCUUUUUUUUUUUCCUGCCC